This 395-nucleotide ribosomal RNA is filed under the name uncultured bacterium. Its description in RNAcentral is "bacterial SSU rRNA". It matches the Rfam family "Bacterial small subunit ribosomal RNA", at positions 30 to 429 of the family's 1533-position model. The record is from RNAcentral.
AUUGAACGCUGGCGGCAUGCCUUACACAUGCAAGUCGAACGGCAGCACGGGGGCAACCCUGGUGGCGAGUGGCGAACGGGUGAGUAAAGCAUCGGAACGUACCCGGAAGUGGGGGAUAACGUAGCGAAAGUUACGCUAAUACCGCAUAUUCUGUGAGCAGGAAAGAGGGGGAUCGCAAGACCUCUCGCUUUCGGAGCGGCCGAUGUCGGAUUAGCUAGUUGGUGGGUAAAGGCCUACCAAGGCGACGAUCCGUAGCUGGUCUUAGAGGAUGAUCAGCCACACUGGGACUGAGACACGGCCCAGACUCCUACGGGAGGCAGCAGUGGGAAUUUUGGACAAUGGGGGCAACCCUGAUCCAGCCAUGCCGCGUGAGUGAAGAAGGCCUCGGUUGUAAG